This is a long non-coding RNA of Cloeon dipterum, 1055 nucleotides long. RefSeq lists it as uncharacterized. The transcript has 2 exons. The record is from RefSeq and is a predicted model, not a curated record. NCBI's taxonomy places the organism in Eukaryota, Metazoa, Arthropoda, Insecta, Ephemeroptera, Baetidae.
UUGUUCUUUUAAUUGAAUUAACUGGUUCUCUGUCUGCCAAAACUCGUGACGUCAGACACAACUUCCAUUAACGGUCUCUAGUUCUGUUACGCGCCAGCUCCGUCUUUCGUCGUUAAAACCAAGAUAGAGAUCUGUAAAAAAUUCUCUAUAAUUUGUUGAGCUUAUGUUUAUAUGUUCUACUUCUAAUUAAAGUUCCAGCCAAAAUUCAAUUUAAAAUUCGAUUCUGAAUUCCAGAAAUCCUAAUAGUGAUCAAAUAACACAUGAGGAGAAGCAACUUCUCCGAAGAUGAUUUGAUUUUUAAAAUUACCUUUUGAAGCCUUGAAUAAAGGAAGGUGCGUGCCGAAACCGAUUCAGCUUAACGCGAAGAUUGUGUGUCAUAUAAUUAGCCAGACGGAAACAACAACGUUUGAGCCAGAUCAAAUUCAGUUAGGGUCUAGAGUUGCAAACAUGCACAUCGUCGCUCUCUUCCUUGUGGCUUUAUUCACGGCAGUGUUCGCACAACAGCAAAUAUGUGGCUGUUUCACCCCGUACCCUCAAGGUUCCGUUUCUGUUGGGAGCUGGCAGAAACUGAAUUUUGACAGACCUUCGGAUACCAUUCACGAAAGCAGCCAAGACAGCAAAUACUACAGCACGCAACACCGCCCGACCCAAGGAUACAACAAUCAUGGAUACGGAGUAGCUGAUCCUCCAUCUCCAAAUUGUGGCAUUAACGAAAGGGUGGUUAACAACAAAUGCAGGCCUAUUUAUUAUUAAAUCAGGAAGUUUCCUUCCCAAAAUUCUGAAGCUCGAUCUUAAUAUUGAUAGAGGCAACUUUUUUACUCUAAUCCGGCCCGAUUUAACUGUCAUAUAAACAACUAACGGAGUAGUCUUUACUAUAAAACAUCCUUGUAGAGCAAAAAUAGGAAAAUAUAGUAUAUUUGCUAAUUUUCUUUGUUAACCUGUUAAUAAUUUAUUUUUUUACCCUUUUUUCGCUAUUUGAUAAAAUAAAUAACCAUUUUUUAGGAAAGCUCAAAUUAAUAUGAUGCAAAUAAAAAUAAAUAAUGUAGCAAUGGAAA